AGAAGAGUAAUCUGAUUCUAGAUCUGUGUUUAGGUUGGUAUCUAAUGGUUCAGGUUAGGAUUGUAGGAGGGUAAUCUGGUCCUAGGUUAGUAUCUAAUGGUUCAGGUUAGGAUUGUAGGAGGGUAAUCUGGUCCUAGAUCAGUGGUUAGGUUAGUAUCUAAUGGUUCAGGUUAGGAUUGUAGGAGGGUAAUCUGGUCCUAGAUCAGUGGUUAGGUUAGUAUCUAAUGG
This is a non-coding RNA of Oncorhynchus mykiss (rainbow trout), 228 nucleotides long. NCBI's taxonomy places the organism in Eukaryota, Metazoa, Chordata, Actinopteri, Salmoniformes, Salmonidae. The record is from RefSeq and is a predicted model, not a curated record.